CCAUACAGAGCAGGAAGAUGAGGAGGUAAGAGACAAUGAAGACAGCUGCCACUGAAGGCUGAUGGUGGUAGAAGUCCACGUAGGAGACAUUGCCUUCUAAGUAGAGUGGAAAGAAGUCUUUAGCAACAGCCGAAGAGGCUUCAGAAAUAUGCAAUUGGCAGAAGUGCAGAAACCAUUCCUGAUAAAAUAGUGUCUGGGCUUGUGGCAUUUAACAUGACAAGCAAAACAGUGUUUCUAUCAAGAAAAGAUUUCAUUACAGAAUACUGUUAAAGUCUUGGAAAUGUUUAUAAGGUUGAGCACAGGGUGGAAAUGGAAAUUUGCCUUUCUAUCCAUCAUGAAGAUGUAUGACGUGCCACCGAGGAGACAACAAAAGAGAAUUGAAUAAACAGAUAAGUGAUAGGGUUUUAGUUGUUGGCUAGGAGGGUUCUUAGUUACACAAUAAAUGAAGAUUACUCAGCAGCAAAGGCACUUAAAAAAAUGUUUUCUGUGUAUGUGUUAUGUUUAGGUGGCUAUUAACUAUUGUUUCUCGUUAUAAUGGGUUUUAUUGCUGCUUAACACUUAGCCUUUAAGCUUCCAAGUUUAUAGUUUCUCUAUUGAUGUGUCACAGGCUACUUUACGUUUUAACUAAAACCUCAGCCAGUUGUUCCUUGAAAUAAGAUUAAAGUGAGAUUCUACCACACAAGGUACUUUUAUCCACCCACUUUACUAAGAAACAUAAGAUAUAUUAGCUCCCUUAUAUUUGCAGGUGGCUUUUGUCAUUUUCUCAACAGCUCCCCCAAGAUCACUUGCAUCCCAAGCCCCAGGGUCAUGAAUUUCCUUGUGGCAUUUUUUGCAACAAGUCAAAGGAGUCUUUUUGCCCUAUUUCUGCCUGACAGCAGCAGAAUGAGAAACAAGGAUGUUACUACCACUAGUGUCAGCACCACAGGAGGGAAGAAAUUACAGAUAAGCACUCAUUAAGUAAACUGCAGGGAAGUUACAGAACCCAUUCAGCAGAGAACCUAGCUUGCUUGUGGCAAGAGACCUUUUGCCUGUGCCAUAAAUUAAUAGCUACUGAGUCAGAAAACCCAGCACCUAUAGGAGAGAAUCUGUUUAGAAGAUGCCCAACAUCUAAUUGAAAGCUAUCCAUUUUUUACUGAGGCUGAACUAAGGCACUCCCUUGACCUGGUGCUUGGUACACUUCUCAAGACAUCUGUCACUUCAGGAGAGGACCCCUUCAGACGGGUUCCCCACCAUCAAUCACCCUACUGUUACCAAUCUAACACUAUCAAGAGUGUUAAGCUUGCUACAGGAGGAAUGAUAUAUGAGCUGUGACUGUGCAGAAAGCAAAGUGUACUCAUUAUGUCUUAGAUCUGCUCAGACAUACAUUCAGUAGAGAAACAAUGAGAUUAUUAAAUUCAGUGAGUCUUCAGGGCUCUUAACAGUGUUAAGUGUUACAGAAAAAGACUAAUACAGCAGAAGUAGCAUUCUUCCUGAUGACUAGUGCAUGUGUAACCACCAAAUGCAACAAGGUUAGCAGUGUUUUGAAAGCAGCCUAGAAAGCCUUUCAGAUUGCUCUCUUCUCCUUAGUUCAAGUUGGCUGAUCAAAAAGAUCUACUGUUCCUGUGAGCCAGACACCAAGCAUCAAGUGCUUGGUGUCCUCUGGUAUUCCCUUGUACCUUGCUUGUAUUUGCCUGUUCUUUAUUAAUACAGUAAUUGAACUCAAAAAGGGGAAAACAAGUUCUUCAAAUAGUGACUUUCCAGCUGUGAUGGGAAAUUGACCAGCGACCUCAGUAAAUACAGUCUGAGCUUUUUCCACUUGGAAGAUAUUCCAGUGAUCACAUAGCAGUGCCCUGUGUCCUUAGAUGUGAGUGGCCCACAGCACUAGUGGCAUGAACACACCUAGCAGUUUUAGUGGCAAGAAAGAGAAGCCAGAAAGUAUUCUUAAGAUGGCAUUUUUUCACCUGGAAAAUAAGAGAUGCUCCCUCACGAAUUCUGAACUCUUGGUGAAGCCAGACUCUUAAGAAGCUAUCCUGGCAUGGGGAUAUUCACUGGGCGUCAGCAAAUACACUCUGACCAGUGCAGAAGAGCAUGAUCCCAGACACUUGAGACUCAGCAUCUUCAUUGCCUUGCUGUGAUGUUACACUGGAUAGCCUUGAAAACUGGAUUUCAGCUGCAGGAGACUACAUCAGAGGUGCGGGGAGGGAAAACGGUGGUAACCACGCUUAGCUGUGGCUCCACCACACCAUGAAGGCGGCUGUUAGCUUCCUGCUGCUGCUUUUCGUAGCAACUCACGCCGAACACCGAGGUAGACCAUAUGUUCGGGACAAAGUCUGCCAAGAGUUCAAGACCAUGGGGAAGGAUGACUUCCGAACCAUGACCCUCAUCGUGAACAGCAGGAAGUUCUCUAAUGCCACCUUCGAGGAGAUCAGCCACCUUGUGCAUGAGAUUGUCUCACUGGCGGAGACCUGCUGUGCCGAUAGUGUUGACCCUUCCUGCUAUGAUGCUGGGUCUUCAGCCCUGUCAGCCAAGUCCUGCAGCCCUGACUCGCCUUUCCCUGCCCAUCCGGGGAUAGCUGCCUGCUGCCUCCACCAAGGCCUGGAGCAGAAGCUGUGCCUGGCUGCCCUAGAGCACCCACCACGCCAGCUGCCCCACUAUGUUGAGCCUUCCAAUGAAGAACUCUGCCAGGCAUUCAAGAAGGAUCCCAAGGACUUUGCUGACAGGUUCCUCCACGAGUAUGUCAGUAGCUACGGCCAGGCACCCUUGCCCGUGCUCUUGGGCUCCACCAGGAACUUCCUCUCCAUGGUCUCCACCUGCUGCAUAUCCCCAUCGCCCACUGUCUGCUUCCUGAAGGAGAAACUGCAAAGAAAAACCCUUUCCCUACUUACACUGAUGUCAAACAGAGCUUGCUCCCGCUUAACAGGAUAUGGGAAGGACAAAAUGAAGUUCAGCUACCUGACCAUGCUUGCCCAGAAGAUACCAAGCGCUUCAUUUGAGGACCUUUCCCCUCUGGCAGAGGAUGCUGCUGAGGUGUUCUCCCAGUGCUGUGACUCGGUGGCUGAAGACUGCAUUCAGCAGAAGUUGUCAGAGCACACCACAAAGGUCUGUGCCACGCUGUCAGCCAAAGACAAAAGGUUUGCCGACUGCUGUGCAGGAAAAAACAUCAUGGAAAACUACUUCUGCAUCUCUGCCUUGCAACCAUCUGUGGUCCCCAAACUGCCUGAGCUGCAGACGCCAACCAACAAGCAAUUGUGUGAUGGUAACGGGGCCCUCCACACCACAAGGUACAUGUUUGAGCUGGCACGGAGACACACCCAUGUCCCUGACGUCUUCCUUGGCAAGCUGUAUGAUACCUCUGAAAAUUUCAUCAAGGAGUGCUGCUCUGCCAAGGAUUCUUCCACCUGCCUUGACAGCAAGCGACAGCAAGUGGGAGCAGAGCUGCCUGCCUUCCUGGAAAAAGCCAACCAGCUCUGUGGGCAGUACACUGAGCUGAAUUUCCUUGACUUCAAGAAGAGGCUGAGGGACAGCAUCAGGCAGACCAGGCCAGAUGCUAGCCCUGAGCUGCUGGCAGAGCUGACAGACCAGAGAGCCGAUUUCGCCUCCACAUGCUGCCCAGCGAACUCGCCGCCACUUUAUUGUGCCGCACAGGUGACCACAGAGCUGGCAAGUAUGUGCAAGCAGGGCCCCUGUGUGCUGGUCUAGGUGUGGGACAGCGAAAAACAAGAAAAGCCACUACAUUGGCUGUCCUGGAGCCACCACAGGGCUAAGAGCAGAGCUGUAGAAGUGGGCUUCACAGUGUGACCCCAGAGCAAUCCCAGGCAUUACCAAGGACCUGAUGCAGGAUGGCAGCUGUCAGUCCCCGGUGUCCAUAGUGCACCUCAGGGCACUACUGCUCAUGGAACAGUUGAGGCAAGAUGGAGACCGGCAUUCCCUGAAACAUCAGCUCCUCCUAGGUGGCUCUGUACUGCUGUAGCAUCUUGUCAUGUCCACCUGUGGAAGCAGAGACAACAGAUCUGAAGGUCCUUCUGGCCGAGGGGAAAGAUCUCCUGAAGCCUGUGGUAUGGAUCCUCCUCGAGAAGCUGCAGGACCCAGUUGCACUAUGCACGAGAUGCCAGUGAGAGGCCUUGGCAGUGCUGUCAGUGGCUUGCUCAAGCAGCAGCAAGAGGAGCUUCACUUCUUGGCCUUCAGCCUGUACAUGGCCCUGGCCGCCUCCACUGAAGGGACAACCACGUUCUUCAGCAGAGAAGGGAGGGAGACGUGGGUCAGCAUCUUCCUGCACUUCUGGGACCCCAGCCUUGCAGUCUCCAGUGCAUGCAGGACAGCCCUCUGUGACUGUGCUCCUUUUGUGGAGCUGAGGGGGCUGAAGAGAGCAAUCACGAAUUCCAUUGGAUGUAUUGUGGCUGAGAUGGAAAGCAGGAUUUGCACUUUCUUGGAGAUGCAAGCACCAGAGAUGCUGGAUGCUAUCUGCAGCACCCAUAGGAGUCACCUCCCGGGUUGCAGUCAGGAACAGCAGGAUGAGGACACCUUCGCAACCCCAGGUUUGUAACAAAUGGAUCCAAAUCCAAACUUCCAGGUUUGCUGAGCACAGAGCAGCAGUCUCCAGCCCCACACCAUUGUUUCAAAAGAUAAAGAAGAGCUCAGAUAACUUCUCCAGCAGAAGGAAUGCAUACGACCCCGACACGUGAUCUGGUCUCGUCAUGAUACCCCAAGCGCUACACAGCUGUCAGUGUCAACACAUUGUCCAGGACAAUGGGUACAGCAGAAGCUAUUGGAUAGAACAGCACCACCUCUGACGCCAGAAAUGUUUGAGCUGCAGAUUGUGGACAAGAGGGAAAUUGCAUCAGCUAAUCCUGUCACCACAUCCUUAUGCUUUGCCCACAUUUGCCAGCCUAACAGGAACAUGCUGACUCCUGCAGAGAAUGAUCAUCUGGGUAAGUGCAAAUUUAAAAAAGCUAAGACUUUCUAUGAAGUAUGUGUGAACCUCUGUGAAGGGUGUGUGAAAUUGACAGCUACCCUGGUUUGCUAGUUCCCAUCCACUGCCAGCAGCCUCUGCUGAGAAGUGAGGCUGCUCCUGAGAGAAGACAAAAAUCACAGUUUCAGAUGUGACACAGGUCUGUUCAACUUCGAUUUCUGAACAGGUUACAUUUCACUCCUCGAAAAGCAUCAGUAAAUUACUUCAGUGGAGUACUUCUGGCAUUAAAGCACACUUUUAGAGCCAUAUAUCCUAAGUCUCUUUGGGUUUAUAAGGGCUGGCCCUGUGUUUCUGUGCAUGUAUUGGUGGGACCUUUUUGAGCAUCCUCUCCAUCCAGAGACCUGCCAGACAUUUGGCCUUAACAAGGGUAACGAUGACAACAGUGAUCUAGGAAUCUUCAUUCAGUCAAACCAAAUGGAAUACAUAAAAUUAAAAAAAACAACACAACUCUCCAAUAAAUGCAUAAAGUUACUUUAUUUUCAGUAUACAUUUAAUUUUGAAAAAUAUAAAUGCUAAAAUAUCUCAUCAUCUUCAUCUUUUGAUUCCAUAAAAGUCACAAUAGAAAGCUUCAUAAAACUGUAAAAUACUAUGUUAUAAGGAAUUUCAUGUUUUAUAUUAGUGGAAAAAAAAAUUAAUAUAUUGAAAUGUUUUCUGCUUUUUUCGUUUUUGUUCCAC
Numida meleagris (helmeted guineafowl) is the source of this 5623-nucleotide RNA transcript. It is a transcript of the gene named GC, vitamin D binding protein, with no coding region annotated. Lineage: Eukaryota; Metazoa; Chordata; Aves; Galliformes; Numididae. The record is from RefSeq and is a predicted model, not a curated record. The transcript has 28 exons.